This 253-nucleotide ribosomal RNA is filed under the name uncultured bacterium. RNAcentral describes it as "partial 16S ribosomal RNA". It matches the Rfam family "Bacterial small subunit ribosomal RNA", at positions 524 to 776 of the family's 1533-position model. The record is from RNAcentral.
UACGAAGGGGGCUAGCGUUGUUCGGAAUCACUGGGCGUAAAGGGCGCGUAGGCGGCUUGAUAAGUCGGGGGUGAAAGCCUGUGGCUCAACCACAGAAUUGCCUUCGAUACUGUCGAGCUUGAGACCGGAAGAGGUAAGUGGAACUGCGAGUGUAGAGGUGAAAUUCGUAGAUAUCGGAAGGAACGCCGGUGGCGAAAGCGGCGUGCUGGACCCCUUCUGACGCUGAGGAGCGAAAGCAUGGGGAGCGAACAGG